RNAcentral lists this ribosomal RNA (497 nucleotides) under uncultured bacterium. Its description in RNAcentral is "partial 16S ribosomal RNA". It matches the Rfam family "Bacterial small subunit ribosomal RNA", at positions 28 to 507 of the family's 1533-position model. The record is from RNAcentral.
GAUGAACGCUGGCGGCGUGCCUAAUACAUGCAAGUCGAGCGAACGGACGAGAAGCUUGCUUUUCUGAUGUUAGCGGCGGACGGGUGAGUAACACGUGGAUAACCUACCUAUAAGACUGGGAUAACUUCGGGAAACCGGAGCUAAUACCGGAUAAUAUUUUGAACCGCAUGGUUCAAAAGUGAAAGACGGUCUUGCUGUCACUUAUAGAUGGAUCCGCGCUGCAUUAGCUAGUUGGUAAGGUAACGGCUUACCAAGGCAACGAUGCAUAGCCGACCUGAGAGGGUGAUCGGCCACACUGGAACUGAGACACGGUCCAGACUCCUACGGGAGGCAGCAGUAGGGAAUCUUCCGCAAUGGGCGAAAGCCUGACGGAGCAACGCCGCGUGAGUGACGAAGGUCUUCGGAUCGUAAAACUCUGUUAUUAGGGAAGAACAUAUGUGUAAGUAACUGUGCACAUCUUGACGGUACCUAAUCAGAAAGCCACGGCUAACUACGUG